GAACAUAAAUACGGUAAAUUUGUUGAAAUGCAUUAUAGUAGAUCCUGAUCUCCAGAAUCCAAGAACUCAAGUUAACCAAUACACAGUAGCCUACAAUAAUCGGAGAUCUUUUGUGCUACAUUUAAUGUCAAUUUUUAAUAUCGUUCUGCAAACCGUAAUAGGUAUGAUUCAGAUUUACAGAAACAGAGAUGAAAAAUCACUGUCUCAUGCAUGAAAAAAACAUACAAAAUUGAACGUAUCACUGAAAUUUGAGGUGCCGUUGAAAAGGACAAUAAGUUGACGGAAGUACGCUCCCCAAUUUGGCGCCAAGCAUCAAUGGCAAUUAUCAGCUGAUUUUGUUGAUUUUUUGAUGGUCGUUGGUGAGAGUGGGUGACGCGAAAAGAAUUGAGGAGUUUUUGUUUUUCGACUUUUAUUUCAACUGCAUUUCAAGAUGGACGAGUACCCUGAUCCAGAUGACAUGUUUGAGAUGAUGCAUCAAGAGGAACUGGAGGCCAUGAGAGAGAUGGAAGAUUUUGAUAUAGAAGCAGCUGAAACAGAGGCUGCAACAAUCCCACCAAGCAUCAAAAGAAGUCUAAAAUUCACUAGUCCUGUUCCUUCUACAUUGGCCAGCAAAGAUGAUAAUUCUUCAGCAGUAGGAGUUGUUGGAACAUCCGGAA
Macrobrachium nipponense is the source of this 656-nucleotide long non-coding RNA. RefSeq lists it as uncharacterized. The transcript is spliced from 3 exons. The record is from RefSeq and is a predicted model, not a curated record. Lineage: Eukaryota; Metazoa; Arthropoda; Malacostraca; Decapoda; Palaemonidae.